This 329-nucleotide unclassified non-coding RNA is filed under the name soil metagenome. RNAcentral describes it as "partial contains 5.8S ribosomal RNA, internal transcribed spacer 2, and large subunit ribosomal RNA". The stretch from base 3 to 120 matches the Rfam family "5.8S ribosomal RNA", at positions 37 to 154 of the family's 154-position model. The record is from RNAcentral.
GGUGAAGAACGUAGCGAAAUGCGAUAAGUAAUGUGAAUUGCAGAAUUCAGUGAAUCAUCGAAUCUUUGAACGCACAUUGCGCCCUCUGGUAUUCCGGGGGGCAUGCCUGUUCGAGCGUCAUUAUAACCACUCAAGCUCUCGCUUGGUAUUGGGGUUCGCGGUUUCGCGGCCCCUAAAAUCAGUGGCGGUGCCUGUCGGCUCUACGCGUAGUAAUACUUCUCGCGAUUGAGUUCGAUAGGUCUACUUGCCAGUAACCCCCAAUUUUUACAGGUUGACCUCGGAUCAGGUAGGGAUACCCGCUGAACUUAAGCAUAUCAAUAAGCGGAGGA